AGAGUCCACGGGCUGGGGAACGCGGGAGGCUGCUCGCAGCGGGAGGGAAGCCAGCGAGAGCGAAGUCUUGGAGCAACUUGAAGGAGGGCUGGGAGGAGGCUGACGCACAUGCCGGGGAAGCCAGGGAACAGCAUGGAAAAGGGCAGAGGCAGCGGCGGAGGCUGGGAGGCGCUGGCUGGGCUGAGCACAGCGCGCACGGACCGGGCUGACCGGGCCCGGCUGCUGGAUGGGACGGGCUGCGGGCUGCUGAGACAAACCAGCCCUGCAAGAAGGUUAAGUGACAUCCCAGGAAGUUUCACGUCUGAGCCGCUCUGCAAGAAGCCACCCAGGCCCUUCUUUGGGGGAUGACUCACUGCACCGAACUCCACAGGGAUGGAUUUUUAUCCUAAACCACCAGAGAACCAGCAACAAAUUCAAACUGCGCAUUGGUCUCCUGUGACCCACUUCAGCAUGAUAGUAAACACUUCCACACACUGGCCGCAAUGUUCUGCACCUCAGCUCCCUGCCUCUGGGACCUUACCCAGAAAACAUAGUUUUGAACUGAACCCAGCCUCCAACACCAGAGAAAACAAGCUGCUCCAGCGCAAGGAAUAAAAUCUGAGGCAUCUGUGUGCUUUAUACUCUAAACAGGAACUGGCCUGCCACCUCAAACUCCGUACCAAAUCACAAGCAACAGAGCAGAAAACCAAAUUAUUCUCAGCUGUUACACUGCUUAAUUUAAUAUUUCCAAUGAGCUCCUUUUCCUUCUCUUCAAGAAUGAAAUGCAUAUUUGUGCUGUGUCACAAAACAUUAGAUUUUGUCAAGGCAAUUCAUUUUUCAAUGGUAAUUUGUAAGUGCACACCAUACCACACACGGUCUGGGGAAUUUUAUGGCUUCUUUCAGAGGGAAGGAAAAUAAGAAGCACUCAAACUAGUGAUGAGAGCAUGGAAAAAAAAAAGCGAGAAGAGGUAACAAUAACAGACAGAGCAUUCAUCUCUCUCAGGCACAGCAGCCUCGGAAAGGGGAGAACAUCCAGGGAAUAAACAGCGGCCGUGCGGCUCGGGCGCUCCAGGACCAACGCGCCGCGUUGCCGAUAAGCGCAGAGCACGCCCGUUUCGCGGAGUUCCCGCUCUCUGCAAGAUUUUAAACACAGUUUAAUGGGGCAUAAAACAGACUAAAUAACCUCAUCAGCUUAAUAAUAAAAUAAAUAAAAGUCA
Long non-coding RNA from Dromaius novaehollandiae (emu), 1196 nucleotides. RefSeq lists it as uncharacterized. Lineage: Eukaryota; Metazoa; Chordata; Aves; Casuariiformes; Dromaiidae. The record is from RefSeq and is a predicted model, not a curated record. The transcript has 2 exons.